This 23-nucleotide microRNA is filed under the name Platynereis dumerilii (Dumeril's clam worm). Its description in RNAcentral is "Pdu-Mir-8_3p (mature (guide))". The record is from RNAcentral. Lineage: Eukaryota; Metazoa; Annelida; Polychaeta; Phyllodocida; Nereididae. RNAcentral also lists the same sequence under 3 other names.
UAAUACUGUCAGGUAAAGAUGUU